RNAcentral lists this ribosomal RNA (254 nucleotides) under uncultured bacterium. RNAcentral's name for it is "partial 16S ribosomal RNA". It matches the Rfam family "Bacterial small subunit ribosomal RNA", at positions 524 to 776 of the family's 1533-position model. The record is from RNAcentral.
GACGUAGGGCGCGAGCGUUGUCCGGAUUUAUUGGGCGUAAAGAGCUCGUAGGCGGUGUGUCGCGUCGGCCGUGAAAACCUGGGGCUUAACUCUGGGCGUGCGGUCGAUACGGGCAUCACUAGAGUUCGGCAGGGGAGACUGGAAUUCCUGGUGUAGCGGUGAAAUGCGCAGAUAUCAGGAGGAACACCGGUGGCGAAGGCGGGUCUCUGGGCCGAUACUGACGCUGAGGAGCGAAAGCAUGGGUAGCGAACAGG